RNAcentral lists this ribosomal RNA (121 nucleotides) under Nigerium massiliense. Lineage: Bacteria; Bacillati; Actinomycetota; Actinomycetes; Propionibacteriales; Propionibacteriaceae. The record is from RNAcentral.
GUUUCGGUGAUCAUGGCGAAAGGGAAACGCCCGGCCCCAUUCCGAACCCGGAAGCUAAGCCUUUCAGCGCCGAUGGUACUGCACACGCUGGUGUGUGGGAGAGUAGGUCAUCGCCGGACAC